Molecule: ribosomal RNA, 301 nt
Filed under: uncultured bacterium
Lineage: Bacteria
Description: partial 16S ribosomal RNA
Rfam family: Bacterial small subunit ribosomal RNA
Source: RNAcentral
CAGCCGCCACGGUAAUACGAAGGGGGCUAGCGUUGUUCGGAUUUACUGGGCGUAAAGCGCACGUAGGCGGGCUUUUAAGUCAGGGGUGAAAUCCCGGGGCUCAACCCCGGAACUGCCUUUGAUACUGGAAGUCUUGAGUAUGGAAGAGGUGAGUGGAAUUCCGAGUGUAGAGGUGAAAUUCGUAGAUAUUCGGAGGAACACCAGUGGCGAAGGCGGCUCACUGGUCCAUUACUGACGCUGAGGUGCGAAAGCGUGGGGAGCAAACAGGAUUAGAUACCCGGGUAGUCCCUGUCUCUUAUAC